UCUGGAGACCAAGAAAGGUGAGGUUUC
RNAcentral lists this unclassified non-coding RNA (27 nucleotides) under Mus musculus (house mouse). RNAcentral describes it as "oocyte_clustered_small_RNA12909". Lineage: Eukaryota; Metazoa; Chordata; Mammalia; Rodentia; Muridae. The record is from RNAcentral.